Molecule: long non-coding RNA, 2214 nt
Filed under: Bos grunniens (domestic yak)
Lineage: Eukaryota; Metazoa; Chordata; Mammalia; Artiodactyla; Bovidae
Description: lncRNA (ENSBGRG00000026558.1)
Source: RNAcentral
GUCAGACCUCUGAGGCAGAGCGCUUGAGCUCUUGCCUGAUAAUCUCACUUCUGGAGGUCGUCCUCAGGAUAAAAGAAAGGAUAAGAAGGGUAAAAUAUAAAGCCUCCAUAGUAUAAUUUAAAAUAGUUAAAACUUGUAAGCAGUUUAUAUGACCUCAGAUUACGACCUCAGUCAGCAAACGUGGCCUUGUGCUCAGUCACUUCAUUCGUGUCCAACUCUUUGCGACCCCAUGGACUGUGGCCCGUCCGGCUCCUCUGUCCAUGGGAUUCUCCAGGCAAAACACUGGAUUGGGUUGCCAUGCCCACCACCAGUGGAUUUUCCUGACCCAAAGACGGCCUACCCAACCAUUAAAGUCAAAUUUAAGAGUAACAUUGAAAAUGCCAUCAAAUAAUAUUUACUGAAAAAAUAAGAUAUAAAGCCAUACAUACAUAUAUUUUUAAAGAUUCUUGGGGUGUGUUUGUAUACAUCUCCGUGUCUUCACAGAAAAGACUGGAAGGAGAUGGAUAGCUAUCCCUCAGUAUCUGCAGGAUUGCUUCCAGGACCUCUCGUGACACCAAAAUUCAGGGCUGAAGUCAUUUAUAUAAAAGGGUGCAACAUUUGCAUGUAGCCCUGGGCCAGGCUGCGGUGGACAGCUGGUGGGCAGCACAUAGGGGCUGGGCUGGGGCGGGGGUUGGGAAGAAAGAAGCUCCCUCACCCUCACAUACCUCUCCUCUGGCCCCCAAAGCUAUUGGAGUUCUUAGAUGUCCUGGAUGACCCAGUGCUGGGCUACCUGCCUCAACGGUCAUCACCAUCCUCACGUCCACCUGUUCUCCUGUGCCGUGGACUACAGGCCCCUCUACCUCCCGUCGUACGUGUCCUUGUCACUGCUGAGACCUUCACCCUCCAGCAACAUCGCCAUGGACACCUCUACCUUCCUGCUCAGGUAUGCAACCCCUCCUACCCAAGCUCCCCAUCCAUCCCACCCCAAGUCGGCUGUAGCUACCCUUCCCCAGGGUCCCACAUGCCUGCUGUGUGUCCUCAGGCCUCAGGCCUUUCUGUGCAUCUGAGUGAUCCUCUCUGAGGAAGUCAAGGAGGUUUCUACCUAGAGGCAGUCAGACCUCUGAGGCAGAGCGCUUGAGCUCUUGCCUGAUAAUCUCACUUCUGGAGGUCGCCCUCAGGAUAAAAGAAAGGAUAAGAAGGGUAAAAUAUAAAGCCUCCAUAGUAUAAUUUAAAAUAGUUAAAACUUGUAAGCAGUUUAUAUGACCUCAGAUUACGACCUCAGUCAGCAAACGUGGCCUUGUGCUCAGUCACUUCAUUCGUGUCCAACUCUUAUGCACCCCAUGGACUGUGGCCCGUCCGCCCUCUGUCCAUGGGAUUCUCCAGGCAAAACACUGGAUUGGGUUGCCAUGCCCACCACCAGUGGAUUUUCCUGACCCAAAGACGGCCUACCCAACCAUUAAAGUCAAAUUUAAGAGUAACAUUGAAAAUGCCAUCAAAUAAUAUUUACUGAAAAAAUAAGAUAUAAAGCCAUACAUACAUAUAUUUUUAAAGAUUCUUGGGGUGUGUUUGUAUACAUCUCCGUGUCUUCACAGAAAAGACUGGAAGGAGAUGGAUAGCUAUCCCUCAGUAUCUGCAGGAUUGCUUCCAGGACCUCUCGUGACACCAAAAUUCAGGGCUGAAGUCAUUUAUAUAAAAGGGUGCAACAUUUGCAUGUAUCCCAUGUACAUCCUCCCAUAUUCUUUAAGUCAUCUCUAGAUUACUUUUAACACCCAACACAGUGUAAAUGCUACAUAAGUAGUCGCUGCUGCUGCUGCUAAGUCGCCCAGUUGUGUCUGACUCUGUGCGACCCCAUGGACUGCAGCCCACCAGGCUCCCCUGCCCUGGGAUUCUCCAGGAAGAACACUGGAGUGGGCUGCCAUUUCUCCAGUGCAUGAAAGUGGAAAGUGAAAGUAGUUGCUAGCAUGCAACAAAUACAGGUUUUGCUUUUGGAACUUUCUAGGUUUUUGUUGGUUUGUUUGUUUUGGUUCUCUGACCAAGAAUGGAUUUUUAAAAAAUAUUUCUGAUCCGCAGUUGGUUGAAUCCUCAGAAGCAGAACCCACAGAUUGGGAGGGCCAAGGUUCUAUUCUCAGAAUCUGAGAUUAGCUUUAUUCUUAUAUAUUUAAAAGCAGUAGGGAAAAGCAGGACAUUUCCUCCCAGGGCUGCUGUGAGUUCCAUCCAGGUGAGAUGGACAAGCUG